RNAcentral lists this ribosomal RNA (429 nucleotides) under Gemmatimonadota bacterium. Its description in RNAcentral is "Gemmatimonadetes bacterium partial 16S ribosomal RNA". It matches the Rfam family "Bacterial small subunit ribosomal RNA", at positions 355 to 776 of the family's 1533-position model. Lineage: Bacteria; Pseudomonadati; Gemmatimonadota. The record is from RNAcentral.
UAGGGAAUCUUCGGCAAUGGACGAAAGUCUGACCGAGCAACGCCGCGGGGGUGAAGAAGGUUUUCGGAUCGUAAAACUCUGUUGUUAGAGAAGAACAAGGACGUUAGUAACUGAACGUCCCCUGACGGUAUCUAACCAGAAAGCCACGCCUAACUACGUGCCAGCAGCCGCGGUAAAACGUAGGUGGCAAGCGUGGUCCGGAUUUUUUGGGCGUAAAGCGAGCGCAGGCGGUUUCUUAAGUCUGAUGUGAAAGCCCCCGGCUCAACCGGGGAGGGUCAUUGGAAACUGGGAGACUUGAGUGCAGAAGAGGGGAGUGGAAUUCCAUGUGUAGCGGUGAAAUGCGUAGAUAUAUGGAGGAACAGCAGUGGCGAAGGCGGCUCGCUGGUCUGUAACUGACGCUGAGGCUCGAAAGCGUGGGGAGCAAACAGG